RNAcentral lists this non-coding RNA (27 nucleotides) under Rattus norvegicus (Norway rat). Lineage: Eukaryota; Metazoa; Chordata; Mammalia; Rodentia; Muridae. The record is from RNAcentral.
UCCAACGAAACCCCAGAAUUAGAGCCU